GGCGGCGGCGGAGGAGGACCAGCCUGCUUCCAGGCAGCGCACGGAUCAGCCGAGCGCCGGCGCCGCGCUGUCAGGCACUUCCCCGGCUGCUGGCGGCGGUCUCCGGAUCAGUGGAUGUAAGGUUUUUGUGGAGAAAACAGAAGAUCAAGGAAGAGUUCGAACGUCGAAGGGCGGAGAGGUGGUCGAGUGCUGGAUGAGCCACUGAUAGGUGCUCUUUCUAAAGGAGCAACAAGGAGACAUUACUGUUCCACCACUGAAAGGGAGAGUCAGCAUUGCAGCAAACUCGAAGAAAAUCCUACGGAGAAGAACAGUCUGGUCUGCAAGGAAGGAACAUAACCAAGGCGAAACCCACUCCUCUAACUACUGCUCCUUAACGAGGGCUGGUGAAAACUAAUCACAUCCUGAAGAGGAAGAAGCCUCAUGAAGCUGUUGAAGCUGUUCAUCGGACACGAGAUGAAAUCAACAUGCUGACGAAGUUUGAGACACACACGGGUUAUCAGAUGCUUUCCCUCCAUUUUGUGCCGUAUUACCAGACUUUUCUUUCUCCCCCUCGGCCCGUCUACGAUCAAAACAUCGUGCAGAGAAAUCGUGGCGAUCCAAGAGGCUCUGAGCAGAAAGGUCAUAGAGAGAGUCUGUAAAAUGGAUGAAGCCUAAUGAUUAGCUCAACCUUUGCCUAAUCAAUAAUCAUUUAUCCAACAAUAUCACCGGCAGCCACAGCCCCAUUUGCCAUUAACCUCAGCAGCGAGGCGAGAGGCAGUAUUGUUUCCUCUGGCAGCUUUAUGGCACUCCGAUGAGUGGUAGGGCCGGGAGGAAGCUUAAGGUUGGAUCUUGAUGGCUCGGAUCCUAUUAAGAGACUGCAGGUAUUUUACUGGAGAAGUGUCACAUAAUUACACUUUUAAAUGAUUGACGGUAAUGUUCAGCAUGCUGGUAAAACUGUACAACGGGAGAGGGGGAUGAUCAUUUAGCUCCAGGACAGAAUAUUAAAAAUGUUUAUGUGCACUUAAGUGAAAACAAAGGCCUUAAAUAUUUGUUAAAUUGGAAAAUGUUGAAUUUUGUUUUGUUUCAUAAAAAAAAAAAGAAGAAACAUUUUAAAAGGUCUAGAAUGUCAGCUUUGUCUUUCCAUGUUCUGGAGCAUUUUGAAGAAGGGAAAUCAAUAAACGUGUUUAGGUCCGACUUAGCUCAUAUCUCCUUCCCCAGCAAAAAACACACUGCAAAUUAUCACUACAUAAAAACACUAAUCUGUGCCUCCGCUUCUUAUUCCUGUCCCACACUCAGCCGCGAAGCAUUAGCUGCGCCCGUCUCCUCUGUGUCUCUCCAUGAUGCCAUCUUCAUCAUAACCUCUCCCGUUUUAUUGCUUUUAAUGACUCCUUCUCCCUUUUCAUUAAUUCUUUAUCGAUUCCUCUUGACGUCGCCUGAAUUAUUUUUCAAUUACAGAAAAUAAAAGAAAAAGAAGAGCCACGGAAUAUGCACGGCUGCCUGCGUUUGCUAUGGUUGUGUUGCGGCCGCCGGUUUGUGCUCUUUAUUUCUUCCCCUACAUCUUUCUGGUAAAAACACACACUUUCACACCCCUUCCUACACACAAUACACACGGAAUAUGACUACGGCCGCAGAAGAAGAGCCGAAAGGUCACCGCUGGCUUCCAGAGGCUGAGCUGGGGUUCUCUGUAGUGUGUUUCCCAGAGAGGAGCGGAACUUGGACACGGUCCACUGGGGCAAGCAAACACACACACGCCAACACACAGAGAAAACGUCUUCCAACUGACGAAUUGGGAUCUUUUAAUAUGCUGAUUUGAGAAUAUGAAGGAUGGUCUCAAAAGCAGAUAGAUGCGGUCGCAAAAUGAGCCUCUGAAGGCGCCGGUUUAAUACCCACAGGUCGUUAAUUAUAACAAUUAUUCAAGCCCAUAUCACAGACACAUAUUGACUGUUUUUUUUCUUCUUUUUGGUCUCUACUUGGGUUGUCUGGUGACGCACCCCAAAAGGCUCAAUUAAAGAAUAAAGUGAGUGUAUUAAAUGUGUGUAUGUGUAGGAGUGUGUGUGUGAUUGUACAGGAAAUGGAAAUAGAUUUUCACCUGCACUGUUUAUUAUGGGGCGCACAAUGCUUUUUUGUCCCUCUGUUGUCCAAUUACAUCAUAUUAUGUUGAAGUCGUGUCAGACAGAAUUAUGUUUUAUGACCCGGAUGGGUGCGAUGCACACACAUGCACACACACACACAUAUAUAUAUAUUUGGACAUGUGAUGGAAAUCAAAUAAACUUGUUCCAUCCACUCACCUGUGUGGUCAUCUGAGUACAUGCGCAGCACCGUAUGUCCCUUAAGUGUCGUAUUUAAGCUACCUUCGCCAUGUUGCAUGGCUGUCCUACGAUGUGUGUGUUCCUCAGUGCGUGUGUGUGCGUGAGUGUGUGUUUGACCUCCACUGCCCGUCUCCCUGCCAUCCCUCCUUUGAGAGCCAGUGUGAUAUACGGAGCUCUAAUUGUCAGGUCUGGCCCCCACAUUCCUCGCCUCCAACAGCCGACCAACAGUGUGUCACUUUAACAACCGCAAAUUAUCACCGCGAUGGAGAUCUCGGCUUCACCGCGCCUCUGUGAGAAUAUAGAUACAUUUCCUUCAAUAAAUUACUUCCCACCAACCACCGACACUCCACACACACACACACACCUAUAAUCUCACACAGUCGACUCAUUACCUGUCUGCCGCUGUCCUCUCUCACACUCGCCGGUCUCUGACUGACGUUUUUACCACAACAUUAUUGUGUGUGCCUCAGGAUCUGCCUAAAAGGGAAUGAGAUGAAGCUAACCCUUUGUGUCACUUUGACCAGGGUGUUUGAUUCUUAAAUAUGUGAGCUGGAACAGAACAGGGAGGGGCCGGGGAGUCUAGACACAGACAGAAAAAUACUGUUUAAUUUGCUGCGUUCAGUUUUUAUUGACUGUAAUUUUUUUAUUUUUUUUAAUCACUUGAAAUGAAAUGUAGAAAGUGCUUUUGAAGAAUCUUUUACACAAUGGGUGUCCAGGCUUUUUGUCAUGUGGGCCAAAAUUGUCGAGUCAAAAGUGUUGGUGGGCCGAGAAAAUGAAAAGAAAAAUGAAAUCAAGUAAAUAAAGUAGUCAGAUUUUUGGGGGGUUUGUUAUUUGUAGGAAACGGAUAUUAUUCAAUAUGUUUUAUUAAAAGAGAGGCAUCUUGUUUUCAAAUUCUUUUGGGCUCCAUUUGAAGAAUUUUAUUAUAAGUUUUAAAAACAGGAUUUGGGACACUUCCUUUGAAAAUGUUUGCUAUAUUUAGCUGAGUUUAAUUAAUAGUUGGCUUUCCAGUAAAAGUCUCUAAAUAGACGUGGUUCUACUUAUUAUAAAGAUUUAAUUGUAAAAAAGAUGAAUACUUUAUGUUGUGCUUUACAAACUUUACAUUUAAGAAAUUUACGUCAAUAAAACCUUUACCCUGAUUAAAAAAAAAAAAAAGUCUCUAAAUGCAUCAACCACCCAGGUGGACGGGUCAAAUCUGCAGCUUUCUUCAACUGCAGUUGGGGGCCACAAAAAGUCAGCCUAAGGGCCACAAAUGGCCUUUGAACGCUCCUGGUUCAGAGUAACCUUUAGCAUCUUCUGUAGCAAAUUACAUCUGAUUAUCUCUUCUGAAAAACAGAAGUGGAAAAAAAACUAAAGGAUGGAACAGAAAAAAAUAAAUAAAUAAAAAGAGUAAUGUCAUUAUCAGACUGAACCAUUAGAGCCCAUCCUGCCAUGUGGUUCAUUUUUAUAUCAGCACUAAACAAAAUAAUUCCAACCACCCAAUCGGAUGCAGCCUAAGUAGUUCAACAUGGUCGUGAGAAGCGGAGCAGUCAUCUUCUCCGGCGGACGGGAUGCCACGUAAGUGUUUCAGGCUGUCUCCAUAGAAGUCCCGGCCAGCUCCGCUGCGGGCUCGGCCAGAACCGGGGCUUCUCUCUAAUGAAAGGCAGGCUGAAAAAGCCUCUUUGAUUGAUUUCCUACAUCUUGAUUUGAUAUCCUGAAUUAAUUAUUUGAACUUGAAUAAUAUAUAAAGGGAAAAAUAAAUGUAAAACACUCAGGGGAAAUAAGUGGAGCACUUCAGUGCUGUUGCCGCAGCUGCGUUUGAUACACUGGUUCUCUAUCUGCUUGUCAAUCUUUCCCUGGAAUACUAUGGAGUUUAUCUCCAACGGAGGAAACCUCGUGUGGAGUCGUGGCAGAUGGAGGUUUUUAUGCGACUGUGGAAGACAGUAAAAGUACAGAACCUUAAAAAGUUUUCAUCCCCCUUGACCUUUUACACAUUUUGCCACAGCACAGAUUUCAUUGUGGUUUGUUUUUCACUGUAUUAUCCAGAAGACCAACACAAGCGGUGCACCGUGGUGAAGUAGGAGAAGCAGGAGACAUGGGGCUCAGAGGGUUUUCAAAAUAAAAAUCUGAAAAAGCUGGGAUGCAUUCAACUCCAUUCAUUCUAACUCACCUAAAGUCAACGGAACUAAUUUCCUUCAAAUGUCAAAAUAACAAGGCGCUGCUUUGAGAAGACUAACUGCUGUCUGUAGGCUAACCAUCAGAACCUGCAGUUACGGGGCCACAAGUGGCUCUCUAAGCCUUUUAAUGGCUAUUAGUAAGGGGGGCAAAUCAGGCCAAAGUAAGUAUUACCAAGCAAGUAUUGGUGUUCUAAUCAAUACUAAUACUAGUAUUAUAAUACUAGUAAGAUAGAUCCUGUAGUUUCAGAUUUCUUUAUGAAAUGUUAUUUCUUUAUUUUUG
This is a long non-coding RNA of Xiphophorus maculatus (southern platyfish), 4721 nucleotides long. RefSeq lists it as uncharacterized. The record is from RefSeq and is a predicted model, not a curated record. The transcript has 6 exons. Lineage: Eukaryota; Metazoa; Chordata; Actinopteri; Cyprinodontiformes; Poeciliidae.